UCAACGUGGGGCGUGCCUCAAUUUCGCCACCUACAACAUGUUGGAAAGUUCUCUCCUCGAAAAACUUUCUUUCUUUCAAUAUGCAACGAAAAAACGCGACCUUGGGCCGGAAAAUGGCGCCAUUUUUGAAUUUUGAGGGCUUUUGACACAGAAUCGUGACCUGUGUGCAGGCGGUUUACCCACAUUGAGCUGCAAACAUGUCACGGUCUUCCACUUGGUAUGACUCACUUUCAGAGUUUCAAACAACACCUGGGGCUUAGGGAGUAAUUAGCGGUGGGAUUUUUUUGAGUCGGUUUUAUUGUCUCACUUUUGGGGGAAAGACAGCAAAAAACUUGGGCCUUGACCUGUACACUGCAUUUAUUCGAGAAAAUUGCGCUCCAGGAUGUUAGAAUUUCUUAUUUGCAUUUGUGUUGUCAUUCCGUUACAGAGCUACUUGUUUUUUUUUGGAUUUGGAUUUUUUUUCAGUACUUUAUCCAUUCAUUGCUUUAUCAGAAAAUACACAAGUUGAAGCGCAUUGCUGACAGCAGUAUGUCAUUGUAAAUCAGUCACAAAAGAGUACAGUUUGGCCUAGUGUAAAUGUUAUCUAAUUUAAGUACUCAGCUGUUGUAUAAUAAUUUCACAAAACUGUAAAAUUUUUUGGAAUUUGUAAUGAAAUUUAAAAAACGGUUGUUUGAUCAAAUUUGCUAUUUUUUUUCCAAAAACUAAAUGAGAAUUGCUUAGGAAAGAAUCAAGAAACAACUGAAAUGAAAAUUGCACAAAUCUACAUUUUUUUUGGAAUUUCUUGUGAAAUAAAAAAACGGCUUUUGACCAAAAACUAUAUAAAAACAGCUUAGAAAACAGUCAUUUAAUAAUCUUUUAAAUAACGGGAAUAAAAAUUUUUGAGUGUGUUGCCAUUCCUUGAAAUUAAAUAAAUACAUACAUUUUUUGCAAAAUAUUUGUUCACUGUUAUGUUCUAGCAAAAGUAAAGGUGCAAAUUUUUCGUUUUUUAUUAAUUAUUUCUAUUUGAUUUUUUGUUCCUUUCAGCUUUUGGCAGCUUUUUUAUAAAUACCCACCUACUUAAAAAUUACGGAAGUUUAUUUUUAAAGUUUCAAAUAUUUUAUUAUUGUCUCAAUUUUGGCCAGAUUAAAAAAUUACCUCCGGAGGGUCAAUUUUAUUAACCUUGACCUCUAGUACUGCAUUUAUUCGAGAAAAUUGCGCUCCAAGGCUGUUGAAAGCAGCCUCCAGGAUGUUAAAACCUCAUGUUUGCAUAAAUUUUUAGAUGUUAAUUAGAUGGUGUUAUGUCAUUUCGUUGCAGCGCUACUUUUUCGGGCGAUUUUUUUUCAUAAACGUUUGCACUCAAAAUGCAAAACUUUCUUAUUUUAUGUAAUUUUUGAUAUUUUAGAAAUCCGGGACAGUUAUUAAGGAAAGUAUACGGUGACAUUAAUACCGUAAAAGUGUCAAUUAAAGUUGAUUUGGAUCGGAUUUUAAACGUAGAAAUCCGUGUUUUUUGCAAAUCCGUUGAUUACGAAUUUUUUUGAAUUACUUUAUCGGAAAAUAAACAAUGUUAAGCGCAUUUCUGACAACAAUAUGUCACUGUAACAAUUGUUACCACCUUAUUUGAUAUUGGAAAUGACUUUCAUUUGUGCCAAAUGUAUUUAAAACAACGACUAAAAAUACCGAAUUUCGAAAUUUUCAUUGCAGAGCAAACAAACCAAGUUCAUGGUCCAUUCACAAUUUUACCGCUUCCUAAAAUAAUGAAUGCGUAAUUAAUUUGUAAAUGAAAACAAACAAAUUGUGGUUUUUAAAUUUGAACACUCAAUUGCCUUAUCUAAUCUUUUGCAAAAUCUUUUUUUAUAUUUACUAGUGACUGUAUAUCUGUACAAAAAAACAAUAUCUUUAUUUGAACAAAUCUCGAGAGUAAAAAGUGUGUUGAAAUUCCUUUCUCGUACAUUUUAUUGUUUAACAACUUGACAUAAACCUGAAUCAUAAUGGCUACGACACAGUGAAAGAAUGUCAGAAAAUAUCACCGAUAAGUCACUUUUAUUAUUAUUGCUUCCAGACGGUUUAAUUUGACGACGGAAUUUGUGUGUGCGGGCGGAGGAGGAAGUUGUGGCAGAAAUGUUUAAUAAAAAAAUGUUCAAACAGAUGACUAAUGUAUUGACGCAAGAAUCAUCCGAAACUUACGUAAUGUUUUUAUAAAUAGCUCGUAAAAAUAAAGGAAAGUGUUUUUCGUCUUGAAA
Long non-coding RNA from Tribolium castaneum (red flour beetle), 2219 nucleotides. RefSeq lists it as uncharacterized. The transcript has 2 exons. Lineage: Eukaryota; Metazoa; Arthropoda; Insecta; Coleoptera; Tenebrionidae. The record is from RefSeq and is a predicted model, not a curated record.